This 498-nucleotide ribosomal RNA is filed under the name uncultured Glomeromycotina. RNAcentral's name for it is "partial small subunit ribosomal RNA". It matches the Rfam family "Eukaryotic small subunit ribosomal RNA", at positions 591 to 1092 of the family's 1831-position model. The record is from RNAcentral. Lineage: Eukaryota; Fungi; Glomeromycota.
CCAAUAGCGUAUAUUAAAGUUGUUGCAGUUAAAAAGCUCGUAGUUGAAUUUCGAGACCGGCUUAUUGGUCGUGCUUUUGUACGUACUGGUAAAUCGGUUUCUCCUUUCUGACGAACUUUAAUGCCAUUAAUUUGGUGUUUUAGGGAAUCAGGACUGUUACUUUGAACAAAUUAGAGUGUUUAAAGCAGGCUUACGCUUGAAUACAUUAGCAUGGAAUAACGGAAUAGGACGUUUGAUUCUAUUUUGUUGGUUUCUAGGAUCGACGUAAUGAUUAAUAGGGAUAGUUGGGGGCAUUAGUAUUCAAUUGUCAGAGGUGAAAUUCUUGGAUUUAUUGAAGACUAACUACUGCGAAAGCAUUUGCCAAGGAUGUUUUCAUUAAUCAAGAACGAAAGUUAGGGGAUCGAAGACGAUCAGAUACCGUCGUAGUCUUAACCAUAAACUAUGCCGACUAGGGAUCGGAUGAUGUUAAUUUUUUAAUGACUCAUUCGGCGCCUUACG